CCUACGGGAGGCAGCAGUGAGGAAUAUUGGGCAAUGGACGGAAGUCUGACGCAGCCAUGCCGCGUGCAGGAUGACGGCUCUAUGAGUUGUAAACUGCUUUUGUACGGGAAUAAGAGUUCUUACGUGUAGGGAUUUGAAUGUAUCGUACCAAUAAGGAUCGGCGAAAUCCGUGCCAGCAGCCGCGGUAAGACGGUGGAUUCGAGCGUUGUCCGGAUUUGUUGGGCGUAAAGGGUACGUCUGCUGUAGGAUAAGUUAAAGGUCAAAUGUCGGGGCUUAACCCCGGGACUGCCUCUGAUACUGUUCGACUAGAGAGCGGAUGCAGAAGGUGGAAUGAGUAGUGUAGCGGUGAAAUGCGUAGAUAUUACGAAGAACACCGAUGGCGAAGGCAGCUAGCUAAUCCGUAUCUGACGCUGAUGCACGAAAGCGUGGGUAGCGAACAGGAUUAGAUACCCUGGUAGUC
RNAcentral lists this ribosomal RNA (460 nucleotides) under uncultured bacterium. RNAcentral describes it as "partial 16S ribosomal RNA". It matches the Rfam family "Bacterial small subunit ribosomal RNA", at positions 338 to 795 of the family's 1533-position model. The record is from RNAcentral.